ACCCCAACAGCUAGCCCACCAUCAAAAACCACCAACCACUAUUAUUACCCCCAAAAGAAUGACAUAUGAAUAAACAAACCAUUUUUCCACCCCAGUAUGGGAGACAGAAAAGGGCUCUCGGCGCAAUAGAAAAAGUACCGUAAGGGAAAGCUGAAAGAGAACUGAAAAAACUCAGUAAAGGAAAGAAAAGCAGAGAUUUAACCUCGUACCUUUUGCAUCAUGACUUAGUCAGUAAAUGUCAAGCAAAGAGCCCUUUAUGUUUGACACCCCGAAACUAAGCGAGCUACUCCAAGACAGCCUAUUAUAGGGCAAACCCGUCUCUGUGGCAAAAGAGUGGGAAGAGCUUUGAGUAGAGGUGACAGACCUACCGAGCCUAGUUAUAGCUGGUUGCCUGAGAAUUGAAUAGAAGUUCAGCCUUUUGACUUUUUUGACCCACAAGGUAUUACCUGCCUCCGGCUAAAAGAAGAUCAAAAGAGUUAUUCAAGGGAGGAACAGCUCCCUUGAAAAAAGACACAACUUUAAUAGAAGGAUAAAGAUCACAUUCUCCAAGGUAAUAUACCCAAGUGGGCCUAAAAGCAGCCACCUUAACAAAAAGCGUUAGAGCUCAAGUAUUACUCCCCCAACAAUUAAGACAAACAAUAUCUUAUACCCCUUAACCUAUCAGACCCUUCCAUGUAAGCAUGGAAAAGACACUGCUAACAUGAGUAAUAAGAGAGCCCAGCCUCUCUCAAACGCAUCUGUGUAAAUCAGAACGAACUCUCACUGAAAAUUAACGUCCCCACAAACAGAGGGAAUUGAAUAAAAUAAAAUUAAAACUAGAAAACCUCCCAAAAUUAAACGUUAAUCCUACACAGGAAUGCUACAUGAAAGACAAAAAGAAAAAGAAGGAACUCGGCAAACACUGGUCCCGCCUGUUUACCAAAAACACCGCCUCUUGACUAUUUCAUUAUAAGAGGUCCCGCCUGCCCUGUGACUAAUUGUUUAACGGCCGCGGUAUUUUGACCGUGCGAAGGUAGCGUAAUCACUUGUUUUUUAAAUAAAGACCUGUAUGAAUGGCAUAACGAGGGCCAAACUGUCUCCUUUUUCUAGUCAAUGAAAUUGAUCUGCCCGUGCAGAAGCGGGCAUGCAACCAUAAGACGAGAAGACCCUAUGGAGCUUUAGACACCAGAACAGACCAUGUUAAAACCCCUGAAUAACCAAGAAAAAACAGAAUGGUUCCUGUCCCUAUGUCUUUGGUUGGGGCGACCGCGGAGUAACAACAAACCCCCACGUGGAAUGGUAAAUUUUUAUCCAAAACCAGAGCCACAGCUCUAAUAAACAGAAAAUCUGGCCCUCAAGACCCGGCAAAGCCGAUCAACGGACCCAGUUACCCUAGGGAUAACAGCGCAAUCCCCUUUCAGAGCCCAUAUCGACAAGGGGGUUUACGACCUCGAUGUUGGAUCAGGACUUCCUAAUGGUGCAGCCGCUAUUAAGGGUUCGUUUGUUCAACGAUUAAAGUCCUACGUGAUCUGAGUUCAGACCGGAGAAAUCCAGGUCAGUUUCUAUCUAUGAGACCCCUUUUCUAGUACGAAAGGACCGAGAAGGGAGGGCCUAUGCUUUAAGCAAGCCCUGCCCUAACCUAAUGAUACCCACUAAAUUAAAGGUAAAAGGGAGUCCCUCCCAUGCCUGAGAAAAAGGCAA
RNAcentral lists this ribosomal RNA (1680 nucleotides) under Callogobius tanegasimae. RNAcentral describes it as "16S rRNA". It matches the Rfam family "Bacterial large subunit ribosomal RNA". Lineage: Eukaryota; Metazoa; Chordata; Actinopteri; Gobiiformes; Gobiidae. The record is from RNAcentral.